GCCCAGGUGGCGAAACUGGUAGACGCACCAGCUUGAGGGGCUGGCGUUCGCAAGAAUGUGCAAGUUCGAAUCUUGUCCUGGGCA
RNAcentral lists this transfer RNA (84 nucleotides) under Bacteroidota bacterium. RNAcentral's name for it is "Bacteroidetes bacterium (activated sludge metagenome) tRNA-Leu". It matches the Rfam family "tRNA". Rfam says of the family: Transfer RNA (tRNA) molecules are approximately 80 nucleotides in length. Their secondary structure includes four short double-helical elements and three loops (D, anti-codon, and T loops). Lineage: Bacteria; Pseudomonadati; Bacteroidota. RNAcentral also lists the same sequence under 1 other name. The record is from RNAcentral.